UGCAUCGAUGAAGAACGCAGCGAAAUGCGAUACGUAAUGUGAAUUGCAGAAUUCCGUGAAUCAUCGAAUCUUUGAACGCACAUUGCGCCCGCCAGCAUUCUGGCGGGCAUGCCUGUUCGAGCGUCAUUUCAACCCUCGACGUCCCCCGGGACGUCGGCCUUGGGGACCGGCAGCACCCCGCCGGCCCUGAAAUGGAGUGGCGGCCCGUCCGCGGCGACCUCUGCGCAGUACAAGCACUCGCACCGGGAACCCGACGCGGCCCGCCGUGAAACCCCCAACUUCUGAACGUUGACCUCGGAUCAGGUAGGACUACCCGCUGAACUUAAGCAUAUCAAUAAGCGGAGGAAA
RNAcentral lists this ribosomal RNA (348 nucleotides) under Beauveria sp. Nautou. RNAcentral's name for it is "eukaryotic LSU rRNA". The stretch from base 1 to 126 matches the Rfam family "5.8S ribosomal RNA", at positions 29 to 154 of the family's 154-position model. Lineage: Eukaryota; Fungi; Ascomycota; Sordariomycetes; Hypocreales; Cordycipitaceae. The record is from RNAcentral.